Molecule: ribosomal RNA, 253 nt
Filed under: uncultured bacterium
Lineage: Bacteria
Description: partial 16S ribosomal RNA
Rfam family: Bacterial small subunit ribosomal RNA
Source: RNAcentral
GACGUAGGAGGCGAGCGUUGUCCGGAUUCAUUGGGCGUAAAGAGCACGCAGGCGGUUUGGCAAGUCGGACGUGAAAAUCCGGGGCUCAACCCCGGACCUGCAUCCGAAACUGCUCGACUAGAGGUAGGUAGGGGAGAUCGGAAUUCCUGGUGUAGCGGUGAAAUGCGCAGAUAUCAGGAGGAACACCGGUGGCGAAGGCGGAUCUCUGGGCCUUACCUGACGCUCAGGUGCGAAAGCUAGGGGAGCGAACAGG